UACGGGGGGGAGCAAGCGUUGUUCGGAUUUACUGGGCGUAAAGGGCGCGUAGGCGGUCAGCACAAGUCAGUUGUGAAAUCUCCGGGCUUAACCCGGAAAGGUCAACUGAUACUGUGCGACUAGAGUGCGGAAGGGGCAACUGAAUUCUCGGUGUAGCGGUGAAAUGCGUAGAUAUCGAGAGGAACACCUGCGGCGAAGGCGGGUUGCUGGGCCGACACUGACGCUGAUGCGCGAAAGCCAGGGGAGCGAACGGG
This 254-nucleotide ribosomal RNA is filed under the name uncultured bacterium. Its description in RNAcentral is "partial 16S ribosomal RNA". It matches the Rfam family "Bacterial small subunit ribosomal RNA", at positions 524 to 776 of the family's 1533-position model. The record is from RNAcentral.